Molecule: ribosomal RNA, 448 nt
Filed under: uncultured bacterium
Lineage: Bacteria
Description: bacterial SSU rRNA
Rfam family: Bacterial small subunit ribosomal RNA
Source: RNAcentral
GCCAGACUCCUACGGGAGGCAGCAGUGGGGGAUAUUGCACAAUGGGGGGAACCCUGAUGCAGCGACGCCGCGUGGGUGAAGGAGCGUUUCGGCGCGUAAAGCCCUAUCGGCAGGGAAGAAGGAGGACGGUACCUGACUAAGAAGCCCCGGCUAACUACGUGCCAGCAGCCGCGGUAAUACGUAGGGGGCAAGCGUUAUCCGGAUUUACUGGGUGUAAAGGGGGCGCAGACGGCAGCGCAAGCCAGGAGUGAAAGCCCGGGGCCCAACCCCGGGACUGCUCUUGGAACUGCGCGGCUGGAGUGCAGGAGGGGCAGGCGGAAUUCCUGGUGUAGCGGUGAAAUGCGUAGAUAUUAGGAGGAACACCAGUGGCGAAGGCGGCCUGCUGGACUGUAACUGACGUUGAGGCUCGAAGGCGUGGGGAGCAAACAGGAUUAGAUACCCCUGUACG